RNAcentral lists this long non-coding RNA (373 nucleotides) under Bos taurus (domestic cattle). RNAcentral describes it as "long non-coding RNA NONBTAT016186". Lineage: Eukaryota; Metazoa; Chordata; Mammalia; Artiodactyla; Bovidae. The record is from RNAcentral.
CCGAUGGCUAACAUUUUGUUUCUCUGCCAAAACCAUUGUAUUUCUUAGUUGACAUUCAAGUUUUAAAAGGGUGAAAUCCUUUUAACGUUACGUAUUUUUAGAAGGCGGCGCAAAAAGAAAGCAGUGGGUCUAAUCCCCACCCCCGACCAUGAGAAAACUACCACUUCUUAAUUUUUACCAAUUUUUCUUAUGUUUUCAGUUAACUUUCUUUCUAAUGUAAAUACAAAUUUAAACCUAGAGGGGCUGGUUCUGUUUGACUGUGAGUGUUUGAUGAUGCAAAGUUGAAACGGAGCCUGGAAAGUUCAUUCUAGAUCUCACUAACUACUGGAAUCAGUGUUUUAAUCUUAGUGGAAAACUUCAGUUGCUUAAUUCU